UACAGAGGGGGCAAGCGUUAUUCGGAAUUAUUGGGCGUAAAGGGCGCGUAGGCGGCUAUGCAAGUGGCGGGUGAAAUCCCUCGGCUUAACCGAGGAACUGCCUGCCAGACUGCAUGGCUCGAGACCGGGAGAGGUGAGUGGAAUUCCCAGUGUAGCGGUGAAAUGCGUAGAUAUUGGGAGGAACACCAGUGGCGAAGGCGGCUCACUGGACCGGAACUGACGCUGAGGCGCGAAAGCGUGGGGAGCAAACAGG
This 253-nucleotide ribosomal RNA is filed under the name uncultured bacterium. Its description in RNAcentral is "partial 16S ribosomal RNA". It matches the Rfam family "Bacterial small subunit ribosomal RNA", at positions 524 to 776 of the family's 1533-position model. The record is from RNAcentral.